This 263-nucleotide long non-coding RNA is filed under the name Homo sapiens (human). RNAcentral's name for it is "non-protein coding lnc-RHOB-8:1". Lineage: Eukaryota; Metazoa; Chordata; Mammalia; Primates; Hominidae. The record is from RNAcentral.
AAAAUCUCUUGGGCUCUCUCUAGCCUAAAGGAAAGAGGCUUAUUGGUGGACUGUCAGAAAAAUGGAGAAUUUCUUUUCCAGUGUCUCUUUUCUAGUCAUUUGCAAUAAAGGGAGAUACUUUGGGACCUCUUGUUUCAGGACCUCUUGGUUGAAAAAACUUCACAGGUUGCAGCUUUUUGAAGGUUGAAGGGACAUAGGCUUGUUAAUCUUUGGGUUUUUUCUUCCUGUAGAGCCCUUUCAAAAUGUUCAGCUACAGCCACCAA